UUACCGAGUGAGGGCCCUCUGGGUCCAACCUCCCACCCGUGUUUAUUUUACCUUGUUGCUUCGGCGGGCCCGCCUUAACUGGCCGCCGGGGGGCUUACGCCCCCGGGCCCGCGCCCGCCGAAGACACCCUCGAACUCUGUCUGAAGAUUGUAGUCUGAGUGAAAAUAUAAAUUAUUUAAAACUUUCAACAACGGAUCUCUUGGUUCCGGCAUCGAUGAAGAACGCAGCGAAAUGCGAUACGUAAUGUGAAUUGCAAAUUCAGUGAAUCAUCGAGUCUUUGAACGCACAUUGCGCCCCCUGGUAUUCCGGGGGGCAUGCCUGUCCGAGCGUCAUUGCUGCCCUCAAGCACGGCUUGUGUGUUGGGCCCCGUCCUCCGAUCCCGGGGGACGGGCCCGAAAGGCAGCGGCGGCACCGCGUCCGGUCCUCGAGCGUAUGGGGCUUUGUCACCCGCUCUGUAGGCCCGGCCGGCGCUUGCCGAUCAACCCAAAUUUUUAUCCAGGUACCUCGAUCAGUCG
This 515-nucleotide ribosomal RNA is filed under the name Penicillium commune. Its description in RNAcentral is "eukaryotic LSU rRNA". The stretch from base 180 to 332 matches the Rfam family "5.8S ribosomal RNA". Lineage: Eukaryota; Fungi; Ascomycota; Eurotiomycetes; Eurotiales; Aspergillaceae. The record is from RNAcentral.